UUUGCUCCGCCAGCCUGCUUGCAGCAGCCGUCUCAGUCAAAUGCAGCUUCAUCGGACACAGUCCAAGAGGGACACAGACUCUGGAACAAUGCAAAGACCAUCUGAAAGAGCGUUUCGUGAGCGGGACGAGACCAAACUCCGGCAGAUGGUGAGAAAAUCAUAUGUUCCACUAACAGAUGUCAUAAAGCACGCUGAACAUGCUAAGGCGGAGUUGCACAGAAAAGAGAUGCUUGCAACGAUACACGCUUGCAAGGCAAAUACGGAAUAUUCCUCCAUGGCAACUUGGGAGGACAAGAGGUCGAGACAGAGGCAGAAUGGAUCUGAAGAUAUGAUUCAAGUGUGUGCUACAACUGCGGAGGGCAUGGACACUGGCGAACAGAGUGUCCGGAGCCCAAAAAGGAAGACCCGCUUUCGACACGGCUGAGCGGAGGGAGGCGGGGGAGGGGCGGAUCCCAGAGACGGACAACCCUCUCCAGGACAAACAAGUAAGGCACACUACACAAAAGGGAAACAAAAGAAGCAAACUUUAACAUUGAUUUUCUAACCAUCUUUAAAGAUGUUUUGACUCAGAAGCUAAAAUCUCAUUUGUAAAAUUGAAAUUCCCAUUAUUUUAGGCUAUAAGAAAUAGCUCAAAACCACUCUGUAGCGAAAAGAGUGAAAAACUAAUAUUAGACCAUGGAGCUUCAGUUGCUCAUGAUCUUUUCACAUUGCACACAGUACUGCAGCAGGAAAUUAUAUGCAGCCAUUACAUUGUACAUCCCAUGUGAGCGUAGGGCCAGACAGAAUAUACGAGGAAGCAUGGUAUGAUCAACAGGUAGAAGCAGAGAGUUUAGACCUGAAGCAUGUUUACUGGUCAGAGAAGGCUGCUGCGGUGUCUGUGUCUCUCUCUCCAUCCCAGGGGAAACUGUUCCUUGGAACCACUCCUCACGUAUCAUUGGCUAAACCGUCACACUGGAAAAGGCAGGAUCUGGGUCCGUGUUACAACAACGUAUCAACCUCUUGGACUUUAGACCGGGUGCAGAAGACUCGAGGAUCGAAACUAGCGCUAUUGCACUUCACACACAGGUAAAAGCUGCACUUCCCUCACCAGCCACUGCGAUCCAGCAUCACCUGAAAACAGGAGACUGGGUGCUCAUCAAGGAUCAAGGAGGAAGCACGGGAAGCAGAGACACUACGCGGGUCCCUUCCAAGUACCCCGACAACGGAGACGGUGGUGAGAGUGGAAGGAGAACAACGUAGGUCUACGCCAGCCACUGCAAACGCAUCCCAGAUCCAGAAGGAGAAGGAGCAGCUGCUACAGGCCCGGACUAAAGGGGAAGGGUGAGAAAAGCGAGCGCCUUCCUCCAUCAAGUAGCAUGCCAAGCUACCGACAAGCGCACCAUAGCAGUGACGUAACCAAGCACCUCACUCAUUUUAUGUGGCUGGGAAGAGAGAGGAGGGGAGCAAGCCCAUAGUUUCUCAAACCGCAAAGCUGUCAUAUAUAAAUCAGUGUGGUAGGAGGCGAAAUCAUGUGCGAAGGUGUAGCCACCCAAGAAGCAGCAGCGAUGGAAGAAAGAUCUCCAGCAUCAGGACACUCCUUUGAGGAGCACGGAUGCAGCCAGAGCAAAAGCAUGCACUCACUGCUUUCUCUGAACACGACAGCAAGGAUACUGUUCCUGAACUUUGAAUUUCAAUUACAAGACAUAAACGGCAAAGAUACCAGCCCGUUUCAUCUCACGAAGAAGUGGCAGGAAUUGCCCAACAGGACGAUGUGUUCCCUCUCCUCGUCAGAUUGAUUGAUAUGUUAAUAUAGACAAACAACUUCAUCAAAUAAUAUGUGAGGGGUGGUAAGUGGCCUACCAGCAGGUCAGUAAAGCACAGCCAAAACCAGCACCUAUUGGAUACAUGUACUUUUAAGCCCAACACAAGGUCUAUUCAAUUAGAAAAUAGGUAUACAGAGCAUACCUUGAGUCAAAGUCAAGCAUUCAUCUUGGACUAAAGCAUAAUUGUACUAAAUCCUUAACUAAGACCAGACCUAGAGGUGGAGAUUCACCAACCCAAAACCAUCCAUUCUGAUCUAUUCUGUGACUAAUAUCAGCUGUCAUGGUAAUUUCUACGUGUUAGGAUAACUAAUUUGAGAAUAGUGGGUAACUAAACAAGAUCAGUACAUAGUGGGUAUUAGUAGACAAAAACCAUACUUUGCACUCAGAGGUUAAUGAUGUAAUGUCUUGAAAUCUUUGGGAAUCUACCUCACUGAUGUAUGUCCUACAAAUGGUUGUAUACUAACUUUUGACUAUCAUUUUUCAGUUGUUAAAAUUGUCAAGAAUGACAAAAAGAGUGAGAUGUUGGGGAAAAAUGUGUUUUAGAAGUUCUCUCUCCUGGAAGGUAUCAACAGCUGUCGCUCCCAUCUGUCUAUGGGGGAUAAUCUAAUCCUGUGUGGGGUCAUGUGAAGAGGUCACAACCAAGAGGUUUUGACCACCGUGUAAACCUUCAGGGGUCUCCUAUUACUUAUUUAGUGGUAGCAGAUGGACUCUGGAAUGUGCACGUCUUGGCGAUGUGUAUAAGAAGGAACGAGCCGAUGAAGAAAGUAGCAUUAAGCCGGAAGCUCCUCACAGAGGAGGGUUCAGGGCUUUGCUCCACUCAGCUGGGUGUUUCCAUGACUUGGUUGAUGUGAUAUACUUAUUUGUUCCAUGACUUAUUUGUCUAGUUGAAUCACUUGUCCACUUGUUUGUACCUGGCUCACAUUCUGAUCAUUUGUGAACUUGUUACUAUAUAAUAAAGUGUGAUAGGACCACCGUG
This is a long non-coding RNA of Pseudoliparis swirei, 2778 nucleotides long. RefSeq lists it as uncharacterized. Lineage: Eukaryota; Metazoa; Chordata; Actinopteri; Perciformes; Liparidae. The record is from RefSeq and is a predicted model, not a curated record. The transcript has 2 exons.